This 497-nucleotide ribosomal RNA is filed under the name uncultured bacterium. Its description in RNAcentral is "partial 16S ribosomal RNA". It matches the Rfam family "Bacterial small subunit ribosomal RNA", at positions 28 to 507 of the family's 1533-position model. The record is from RNAcentral.
GAUGAACGCUGGCGGCGUGCCUAAUACAUGCAAGUCGAGCGAACAGACGAGGAGCUUGCUCCUCUGACGUUAGCGGCGGACGGGUGAGUAACACGUGGAUAACCUACCUAUAAGACUGGGAUAACUUCGGGAAACCGGAGCUAAUACCGGAUAAUAUAUUGAACCGCAUGGUUCAAUAGUGAAAGACGGUUUUGCUGUCACUUAUAGAUGGAUCCGCGCCGCAUUAGCUAGUUGGUAAGGUAACGGCUUACCAAGGCAACGAUGCGUAGCCGACCUGAGAGGGUGAUCGGCCACACUGGAACUGAACCACGGUCCAGACUCCUACGGGAGGCACCAGUAGGGAAUCUUCCGAAAUGGGCGAAAGCCUGACGGAGCAAGGCCGCGUGAGUGAUGAAGGUCUUCGGAUCGUAAAACUCUGUUAUUAGGGAAGAACAAAUGUGUAAGUAACUAUGCACGUCUAGAGGGUACCUAAUCAGCAAGCCACGGGUAACUACGUG